UUAUAUUAUUAUUAUAUUAUAUUUGGCAUCUCACAUUUUGAUUUAUUCUAUAGAAAUAGAUUUUUCAUUGAAAGACAACUCCCAUGGCCAGGCCAAAGGGACAUGGAGUCCUAUGCCAUCAAAGGAACCAACAAGGUCCUAAGAGCGAUGAUUGUACCAAUAAGCUCCUGUAUGUGGCGUGCAUGGAGAAAAUCGAAACGGACAACCAAGGUGGUACUACAAACUAGAGCAGUCAACACAAAGAUUAUUUCUUCUCCUCACAGAUUUAAAGCUAGAUCGAGGUUAUCAAUAGCAAUGGCUGGAGGAAAAUAGUUUUAGUGGCGGGUAAGGUUCUUGGCAGCUUGGGGAAUGUGUAUUGAGGCGGAAUGGAUUCAAAGAGCCGAGAGUUUCGAUUCGAGGAUGUAGUUUUUGUUCUUAUGGUUUUUAUAUGUAUUUUUCCGCAUUUUAUUAUGUAAUCUCUUUUCAAAUUAUCAUUAUGUCAUGUUUUGGUUUUAAAACAAUGGGAUCCCAUAUCCUAACUUCAAUUUUAUGUAAGUUUAACUUUUCCUUUUUACAAGUUUUAAUAAAGUUAUGAUCUUUUCA
Molecule: long non-coding RNA, 582 nt
Organism: Humulus lupulus (European hop)
Lineage: Eukaryota; Viridiplantae; Streptophyta; Magnoliopsida; Rosales; Cannabaceae
Exons: 4
Source: RefSeq, a predicted model, not a curated record